AAAGUCGUAACAAGGUCUCCGUUGGUGAACCAGCGGAGGGAUCAUUACAGAGUUGCAAAACUCCCAUACCAUUGUGAACGAUACCCGUACCGUUGCUUCGGCGGGCCUGGCUCGCCGCCCGCCGGACGACAUACAAAACUCUUGUCUCACACAGGCCUCUCUGAGAACUUAUACAAAUGAGUCAAAACUUUCAACAACGGAUCUCUUGGUUCUG
Molecule: unclassified non-coding RNA, 214 nt
Filed under: Ascomycota sp.
Lineage: Eukaryota; Fungi; Ascomycota
Description: partial contains small subunit ribosomal RNA, internal transcribed spacer 1, and 5.8S ribosomal RNA
Rfam family: Eukaryotic small subunit ribosomal RNA (bases 1-47)
Source: RNAcentral